RNAcentral lists this unclassified non-coding RNA (253 nucleotides) under uncultured Chytridiomycota. RNAcentral's name for it is "sequence contains ITS1". Lineage: Eukaryota; Fungi; Chytridiomycota. The record is from RNAcentral.
UUCUUGCGUGGUGCCUCCUCUUUCGAGAGUGAGAAGCCCGCUGAGACAACUAACCCUUUGUGCAACCAAGAUGUUUUUUGGGUCGUAUUUCCGCAAGGAAGGCGGCCCAGCUGUAUUAAACAAACUAUAUCAAUUUGUCUUAUAUCUCUAUGAAAAUAGAAACAACUUUUGACAACGGUCUCUUGGCUCUCGCAUCGUAAAAACGCAGCAGUACAACUUUUAACCAUGAAUCUCUAGGCUCUUGCAUCGAUGA